This is a long non-coding RNA of Homo sapiens (human), 1752 nucleotides long. Ensembl annotates it as long intergenic non-protein coding RNA 2436. The record is from Ensembl. NCBI's taxonomy places the organism in Eukaryota, Metazoa, Chordata, Mammalia, Primates, Hominidae.
AGAGCACCCAGCAUAACUGUGGGAGAAUAGUAAGCAUUGGACACAAAAUGGUUUAGGCAAAUAAUGAUGAACAAAAAUGGUCAGUCUGUGUUCCUGCUGACCCAGCACAGUGGGGACGCUGUGUAGGACAUGACCUUUGGGGGAAAGGACACAAGAACUCAGCGUGGGGGAUCCAGAAAAGAAGUCGCACGUAUUGAAGCCAGUAACGCCAAGCCAGUGAAUUCUCCUUGACGAGAAAGACCCACUUACUCUGCAGAAGAGAUAUAUGACAGCUGACAAUCCCUGGAGGAGAAUCUUUCUACUAAAUUGGUAAGGGAUGCUAAGCAAAUGAUGUGGACUCAGGAAACAACGCAUUUCAUGAUAUACGGUUGCCUCUCAAGGUGAAUUCGAGACCCCUCUUGAAUUACAAAGAGUUGAAAACAUUCAAGUACGGAAUAAACUAUUACUGCGAAUACGCUCAUAUGACACAAGAACAAUCUCUGAGCUUCUUUGAGGAUGUCCAGAUGACUGCUGACUGCACUAAUUGCAUCAAUCGUGUAUCCAUACAGUAACUCCAGGUUGAAGAACUUCUACUUAUAGGCAUCUAUUCAACGAAGACGAAUCCUGGAAUGGGGAUGGAAAUGAUGGCUCAUGUCUUAGCAAACUACCAAACUGAUCCGAGAGGACAGGGAAGUCAGUGUGGGCGGCUCUAAGGAGCCUCCCUCUCUACAGCUGCGGCUCAGAGGAUUACGGCGCUUCAUCCACAAGGCAACAUUGCACAAGUAGCUUUUGAACAAAAGUCAUGGAUACUAUUAAUGAUAUGUUCCCACACACAUUUAGUGUCGUCUCAAAAUUCACGCUGUCAACUGUCUCUAGGAAUCAUUUCCAUCUGAGAACAGACCACACAAAGACACAGUGAAACUCAGUUUCUGCAGAAUUUGAUUUCAUUUGAGUUACUGGGGAACAAAGCAAUUAGACAAUGAAUAAUAGCUCAAGACAGGCUGAAGCUGAAGAUUUCUGCAAAAGAAUGAAGAGGAAACGUUUUGAUCCUGAGCAGAUGUUCUCCCUAGAUUGCUUCACCUGAGGUUGAUUGACUUUUGGAAACGAGAUUUGUUCCCAGUGCUUUGUGAGUCUCUUGUUGGAAGGACUGUCUUUAAAUUAAAGCAAUUAGAGUUACUUUAUAAGAUUUACCCAAAUAUAAGAGCUGAAGAGAAUAAUUCAAAUUGAUCAGAAGAAAAUACUCAAUUACUGACAAAUGUCAAUUACAUCAAUAGCCUAGGCUGCUCUUGAACUCCUGGGCUCAAACGAUCCUCCCCUGUCGGCCUCCCAAAGUGCUGGGAUUACAAGCUUGAACCACCAUGCCCAGCCUCAGAAAUUUUUUAAAUGACAGCUCAUACAGUUUUCUUUUAUAAAGGAGGAGAAAAUGUGUAAUUGUAAGCAGCUGAACUAAAAUAUCUCUGUGACAUUUUGCUGGUGACUCCAGCCCUGUGAGAUCUGAGUGGCUCAGGAAUCAAAUUCUCCCACAAACCUGAGGAAGCCUUUUAUUCUUAAUGCCAACAGGAUGCCCCAUGCCCAGAAUGUCAAAUCUGAACACCAAUGGAAUGCAUUUUAUAAACAAAUUGAAAAAGGACAAUCUUUAACAGAAUUGUUGUUCUCUAGGCAGAUUAGUUGUGCUUCAAAUACAAAAUGAAAUAUUAGAGAACAAAAUUAUUUUUAAACAGCUAAUACUAGUAGAAAAUAAAAGGCUGAAAAGUGCUAUAAUGUGUAAAAGGA